UUCACAUCCACUAGAAUGACUACUAUUUUUUUUAAUGGAAAAUAAUAAGUGUUGGAGAGGAUGUGGAAAAAUUGGAACCCUGUCCAUUGUUGGUGAGAA
Molecule: microRNA precursor, 99 nt
Filed under: Dasypus novemcinctus (nine-banded armadillo)
Lineage: Eukaryota; Metazoa; Chordata; Mammalia; Cingulata; Dasypodidae
Description: miRNA (ENSDNOG00000033440.1)
Source: RNAcentral